UGAAACAGCCUUCUAUCAGAAGAAGAUGCCUUCUAGGACUUUCAUAGCUGGAGAGAAGUCAGUGCCUGGCUUCA
RNAcentral lists this microRNA precursor (74 nucleotides) under Canis lupus familiaris (dog). RNAcentral describes it as "miRNA (ENSCAFG00000051642.1, ENSCAFG00845002769.1)". The record is from RNAcentral. Lineage: Eukaryota; Metazoa; Chordata; Mammalia; Carnivora; Canidae.